Molecule: ribosomal RNA, 72 nt
Filed under: Staphylococcus sp. AtDRG32
Lineage: Bacteria; Bacillati; Bacillota; Bacilli; Caryophanales; Staphylococcaceae
Description: partial 16S ribosomal RNA
Rfam family: Bacterial small subunit ribosomal RNA
Source: RNAcentral
UUUUUAUGGAGAGUUUGAUCCUGGCUCAGGAUGAACGCUGGCGGCGUGCCUAAUACAUGCAAGUCGAGCGAA